AGGACGAACGCUGGCGGCGUGCUUAACACAUGCAAGUCGAGCGGAAAGGCCCUUCGGGGUACUCGAGCGGCGAACGGGUGAGUAACACGUGAGCAACCUGCCCUUAGCUUCGGGAUAGCUCCGGGAAACCGGAAUUAAUACCGAAUAUGAUUUUUGCUGACAUCAGCAGAAGUGGAAAGUUUUUCGGCUAGGGAUGGACUCGCGGCCUAUCAGCUAGUUGGUGAGGUAACGGCCCACCAAGGCGACGACGGGUAGCCGGCCUGAGAGGGCGACCGGCCACACUGGGACUGAGACACGGCCCAGACUCCUACGGGAGGCAGCAGUGGGGAAUCUUGCACAAUGGACGAAAGUCUGAUGCAGCAACGCCGCGUGGGGGAUGAAGCUUCUCGGAGUGUAAACCCUUCGACCCGGAAGAAUGCCGCAAGGUUGACGGUACGGGUAUAAGAAGCCCGGCUAACUACGUGCCAGCAGCCGC
Molecule: ribosomal RNA, 475 nt
Filed under: uncultured bacterium
Lineage: Bacteria
Description: SSU rRNA
Rfam family: Bacterial small subunit ribosomal RNA
Source: RNAcentral